UUUUUUUUUCCUUCCCUAUUCUUCUUCUCCCGCCAGUUGCCAACCGGUAGCUGGCAAGGUGAGGCCCGACAACCUCACUAGAGCCACACCGAUGGCCAGGCCAUCAACAAGUUUCGACCUCAUCUUGGGCUUAGGGAGGCUCCAGCAAGCUCGUUGGAACCUAGGCCCAGCCAAUCGACAUAGUUGACGACCGACAAUGAGGGAAGAAGGAAGGAAAGAAAAAGGAAAAAAAAAUUAACUUGAUUCUAGAGUUGUUCUUAGAAACAAAGAAAUAACUUUUUUAUAAUUUAUUGAUUCUGUUCCCAAAUACAAAAGAGUUACCAUACAUAUUUUUGUUCUUUUUUUUUUUGUUUGAUGAACAAAAGAAUAGAAUCAGGUAUGUUUAGGGACGGUACCAAAUAGGCCCAAGAAGGGUCCAAAAAUUUGUGUAGAGGGGUCAUUUUAGUGUCGAAAAUUUCAAUUGACUCACUUUUUUUUUUAAGGAGAAGUUAUGAAACCCUUCCUUUUUAGACUAGAUUCAAAUGCAUGAUUUUUUUUUUAUUUGACAAAUGUAUAAGUUUAAAAGCUAUAAAACCUUGCAUAUAUAUAUAUAUAUAUAUAAAGGUUUUAAUUGCACUAACAUGCUACAUGGAGGUUUCAAUCUUUAAUUUGAUCCGAGUGACAAUGAGGUUCUGUUUUUGCACUAGAAGGAACGUAUUCAGAUGCCUUAUCAAUAACAUCAAUGGAAAUUCCUUAAAUUUUCUCUUUCACCAACGAAAAGAGUGGGUACGUAUUCCUAAUUCAUACCAAGAAGAAUUAGGAUGUUUAGCUAAAUAUUGCAUUAUCUAGUGAUAAAGGCUAAGAAGCCGGUCCACUAAGUAUUCAGUGAGUGUAGUGUAAAUACUAGAUUGAAUUUAGAUAUUUAGUGGGUCUCACAUGGAACCUAGGUGAAUCUCAUUAUUUGAUGACCAGACUCAAUGUAAUGCAUAUAACACAUCAAUUUUUUUUUCCACCAUAUCACAAAUAACUAAUUGAUAUUUUUAAAAGGAUGAAGGUACAAUCUACUAUCUAACGGUUCUCGUUAAAUUAAGGCAAGAUGCUGUUUUUGCUUUUCCUUUUUCUAUUUUUUUGGUGCACUAGCUAGAGUUCAAAGGUUCUAGUUACAUUUUGUGGGCAUCUUCAAGGUGGAUUAGCUUCUGUAACGGGGCUACUUGUGAUCCUCGACUAGUCUUCGAGAGCACUCCAGAGAACUCGAAUAUCUAAAUACACGAUAAAGAGGCAAAAUUAAUAUCGGUGAAAAACUUUUCGACUGCGUAUGGUAAUCAAGAUAAAAUUCGAAAUAGGGUAAAAUAUGAUGGUCAAUGUUUAUUACCUUGGGCCGACUUUCUGCCACUUUGAUCACCCAUAUCUUGUUUCUUCAAUGCCUAAUCUAAUUGUUUCUUCCAUCCUCAGAAGUCUCAAAGUUUGCACUCUUCGCCUCUCUCUCUCUCUCUCUAACCUCGAUUCAAGUUUUCCGUUUUUUCUAAAACAAUCUCUUUGAUUAUGUAGCCAAUAUAAUUUUCAUUGAACCAUCAUACAGAUUUGCCUGUCAAAUAAGGACCAAAUUAUACAUGUGAAAAACACUUGGCUAGAAUUUUGACUAAACUUUUGCCAGUAGUCGGUGUUACGGGUGAGAUGGCAAACGGAUUUUUGGAAAUGGGAAGGGACAAAAGUUGAAAUUGACAAUCGCUAUUUAUAAUGUCUAUUUAAUGGCGCUCUGCCCUCCAUAAGAGUAGUAUUGUUUGCUUUUCACAAGCCAUCGAGUUACUCUGCAUCGACAUAUUAUAUUGUGAAAUUUUGUAAGCACUACCUCCACAAUUGAGGGUGUAUAUAUAGAGAGAUAAGGGUGAGAAAUAAGCUUGAAAUUGUGCAUGACAAAAUUUCUGGAAUAGAAAUUGAUUUCUAAUGACAAAUUGAUUUUUCAAUUUCUAUUUUAGAAAUUAAAAAGUUAAAAAUUUCGACUUCUUAUUUAUUCUUCAAUUUUAUUUUUGGAAUAUAAAUCUGUUCCAGAAAUAGAAAAAUCAAAUUGCGUUACCAAACGGAUUUCUAUUUCAAACCUGUUUUCAGGAAAUAAAGAAACACAGAAAUAGAGAAAUAGAAAUUUUAUCACGCGCGCCCUGAGUUCAUCAGGUACUCCCGAGACCAACGCGCAUUACUUGGGAACAAACUACUGUCAUCCAAGGAUUUUCUCUGUCGCUCUGCUUAAAUUUGAGUCCACCGAUUGCGCCAAAUAUUUUGACGGGGCUAAGUCGAUGGCAAGGAAAAAAAAAUAUAUUAUUCUGCACUGAAUUAUUAUAAUACACCUUAUAAAAUGAUUGAAUUAUUUGAUGUUCUAUUAUUCCGUGAUACCUCUUGGGCUAUAUUCGGUCCUUUUACCUUAUUCAUCAUGGGCCACAUCCCUCAUCAUUUGUACGAGGUAAUGAGUUUAUGACAAAGAGUAUCACAAUCACAAGCAGAACACGGAUUAAACCGGUUCGAGAACAUUUAUUAAUGGGAGCAUGAGAGUAUAUAACGACAGAAAACGAGCAUACAUGACAAAUAUACCCUUAAUAUUUGGACCAUCGGACUUGAUGAGGCGCUCGAUCGACGAUCUUAUUCCGACAUGCAAGUAGAUGUGUAGAACUCAUGCCCCCCAUGGCAAGCUGCUCCAUCAUGUCCUCACCCCUCCACACCGCACGAAGGCCCCGCAUGGAAGCUAUCCAUUUCCGCGAUCACGAUCACGACCUUGCCCUGGCGAGGGAAAGGGAUAUCGUCGUCCGAGGAAUAUGAAGCUGAAUCAUUGUCCGAGGAAUCUGAAGCUGAACUAGAGUUACCCAUUUUUCUUGAAGGAGAAGUUGCGCAACCCUUCCUUUCGAGACUAGAUUCAAACGUAUGAGUUUUUUUUUUGCUUUGGUCUGACAAAUAUAUGAGUUUGAAAGCUAGCAAACAUUGCGUAUAUAUAGUUUUUAAUUGCACUAAAAUCUUCAAUUUAAUUUACAUUUGCGUGAUAAUAAAGUUCUAUUUU
RNAcentral lists this long non-coding RNA (3022 nucleotides) under Eucalyptus grandis. Its description in RNAcentral is "long non-coding RNA (EGRA_LNC001296)". The record is from RNAcentral. Lineage: Eukaryota; Viridiplantae; Streptophyta; Magnoliopsida; Myrtales; Myrtaceae.